Molecule: transfer RNA, 85 nt
Filed under: Felis catus (domestic cat)
Lineage: Eukaryota; Metazoa; Chordata; Mammalia; Carnivora; Felidae
Rfam family: tRNA
About the family: Transfer RNA (tRNA) molecules are approximately 80 nucleotides in length. Their secondary structure includes four short double-helical elements and three loops (D, anti-codon, and T loops).
Source: Rfam by way of RNAcentral
ACCUGGGUGGCUCAGUUGGUUGAGCAUCCGACUUUGGCUCGGGUCAUGAUCUCACUGCUCGUGGGUUCGAGCCCCGUGUCGGGCU